This 988-nucleotide ribosomal RNA is filed under the name Trabulsiella odontotermitis. RNAcentral describes it as "bacterial LSU rRNA". It matches the Rfam family "Bacterial large subunit ribosomal RNA", at positions 1943 to 2925 of the family's 2925-position model. The record is from RNAcentral. Lineage: Bacteria; Pseudomonadati; Pseudomonadota; Gammaproteobacteria; Enterobacterales; Enterobacteriaceae.
UAACGGUCCUAAGGUAGCGAAAUUCCUUGUCGGGUAAGUUCCGACCUGCACGAAUGGCGUAAUGAUGGCCAGGCUGUCUCCACCCGAGACUCAGUGAAAUUGAACUCGCUGUGAAGAUGCAGUGUACCCGCGGCAAGACGGAAAGACCCCGUGAACCUUUACUAUAGCUUGACACUGAACAUUGAGCCUUGAUGUGUAGGAUAGGUGGGAGGCUUUGAAGCGUGGACGCCAGUCUGCGUGGAGCCGACCUUGAAAUACCACCCUUUAAUGUUUGAUGUUCUAACGUGGACCCGUGAUCCGGGUUGCGGACAGUGUCUGGUGGGUAGUUUGACUGGGGCGGUCUCCUCCUAAAGAGUAACGGAGGAGCACGAAGGUUGGCUAAUCCUGGUCGGACAUCAGGAGGUUAGUGCAAUGGCAUAAGCCAGCUUGACUGCGAGCGUGACGGCGCGAGCAGGUGCGAAAGCAGGUCAUAGUGAUCCGGUGGUUCUGAAUGGAAGGGCCAUCGCUCAACGGAUAAAAGGUACUCCGGGGAUAACAGGCUGAUACCGCCCAAGAGUUCAUAUCGACGGCGGUGUUUGGCACCUCGAUGUCGGCUCAUCACAUCCUGGGGCUGAAGUAGGUCCCAAGGGUAUGGCUGUUCGCCAUUUAAAGUGGUACGCGAGCUGGGUUUAGAACGUCGUGAGACAGUUCGGUCCCUAUCUGCCGUGGGCGCUGGAGAAUUGAGGGGGGCUGCUCCUAGUACGAGAGGACCGGAGUGGACGCAUCACUGGUGUUCGGGUUGUCAUGCCAAUGGCACUGCCCGGUAGCUAAAUGCGGAAGAGAUAAGUGCUGAAAGCAUCUAAGCACGAAACUUGCCCCGAGAUGAGUUCUCCCUGACUCCUUGAGAGUCCUGAAGGAACGUUGAAGACGACGACGUUGAUAGGCCGGGUGUGUAAGCGCAGCGAUGCGUUGAGCUAACCGGUACUAAUGAACCGUGAGGCUUAACCUU